GAAAUGCGAUAAGUAAUGUGAAUUGCAGAAUUCAGUGAAUCAUCGAAUCUUUGAACGCACCUUGCGCUCCUUGGUAUUCCGAGGAGCAUGCCUGUUUGAGUGUCAUGGAAUUCUCAACUCUAUUUGCUUUUGUGAAUAGAGCUUGGAUUUGGAGGUUUAUUGCUGGUACUUGUGAUCGGCUCCUCUUGAAUGCAUUAGCUCGAACCUUUGCGGAUCAGCUAUCGGUGUGAUAAUUGUCUACGCCGUUGCAGUGAAGCAUAUCAAUGGGCUCGGCUUCCAAUCGUCCUUUACUGGACAAUGACUUUGACCGUUGACCUCAAAUCAGGUAGGAUUACCCGCUGAACUUAAGC
This 350-nucleotide unclassified non-coding RNA is filed under the name plant metagenome. RNAcentral's name for it is "partial contains 5.8S ribosomal RNA, internal transcribed spacer 2, and large subunit ribosomal RNA". The stretch from base 1 to 105 matches the Rfam family "5.8S ribosomal RNA", at positions 50 to 154 of the family's 154-position model. The record is from RNAcentral.